UGAGGAAGGAUUAGAUAGCAAUCUUGUUGUAAGUGCCCUCUUGGGCAAGAGUGACCAUAAUAUGGUUGAGUUCUUCAUUAGGAUGGAGAGUGACAUUGUUAAUUCAGAAACAAUGGUUCUGAACUUAAAGAAAGGCAACUUUGAGGGUAUGAGACGUGAAUUGGCCAUGAUUGACUGGCAAUUAAUUCUAAAAGGGUUGACGGUGGAUAUGCAAUGGAAGACAUUUAAAGACUGCAUGGAUGAACUACAAACAUUGUUCAUCCCAGUUUGGCAAAAGAAUAAAUCAGGGAAGGUAGUGCAUCCGUGGAUAACAAGGGAAAUCAGGGAUAGUAUCAAA
Molecule: long non-coding RNA, 337 nt
Organism: Amblyraja radiata (thorny skate)
Lineage: Eukaryota; Metazoa; Chordata; Chondrichthyes; Rajiformes; Rajidae
Exons: 3
Source: RefSeq, a predicted model, not a curated record